UUGAAGAGUUUGAUCAUGGCUCAGAUUGAACGCUGGCGGCAGGCCUAACACAUGCAAGUCGAGCGGUAGCACAGAGAGCUUGCUCUCGGGUGACGAGCGGCGGACGGGUGAGUAAUGUCUGGGAAACUGCCUGAUGGAGGGGGAUAACUACUGGAAACGGUAGCUAAUACCGCAUAACGUCGCAAGACCAAAGUGGGGGACCUUCGGGCCUCAUGCCAUCAGAUGUGCCCAGAUGGGAUUAGCUAGUAGGUGGGGUAACGGCUCACCUAGGCGACGAUCCCUAGCUGGUCUGAGAGGAUGACCAGCCACACUGGAACUGAGACACGGUCCAGACUCCUACGGGAGGCAGCAGUGGGGAAUAUUGCACAAUGGGCGCAAGCCUGAUGCAGCCAUGCCGCGUGUGUGAAGAAGGCCUUCGGGUUGUAAAGCACUUUCAGCGGGGAGGAAGGCGAUAAGGUUAAUAACCUUGGCGAUUGACGUUACCCGCAGAAGAAGCACCGGCUAACUCCGUGCCAGCAGCCGCGGUAAUACGGAGGGUGCAAGCGUUAAUCGGAAUUACUGGGCGUAAAGCGCACGCAGGCGGUCUGUCAAGUCGGAUGUGAAAUCCCCGGGCUCAACCUGGGAACUGCAUUCGAAACUGGCAGGCUAGAGUCUUGUAGAGGGGGGUAGAAUUCCAGGUGUAGCGGUGAAAUGCGUAGAGAUCUGGAGGAAUACCGGUGGCGAAGGCGGCCCCCUGGACAAAGACUGACGCUCAGGUGCGAAAGCGUGGGGAGCAAACAGGAUUAGAUACCCUGGUAGUCCACGCCGUAAACGAUGUCGAUUUGGAGGUUGUGCCCUUGAGGCGUGGCUUCCGGAGCUAACGCGUUAAAUCGACCGCCUGGGGAGUACGGCCGCAAGGUUAAAACUCAAAUGAAUUGACGGGGGCCCGCACAAGCGGUGGAGCAUGUGGUUUAAUUCGAUGCAACGCGAAGAACCUUACCUGGUCUUGACAUCCACAGAACUUUCCAGAGAUGGAUUGGUGCCUUCGGGAACUGUGAGACAGGUGCUGCAUGGCUGUCGUCAGCUCGUGUUGUGAAAUGUUGGGUUAAGUCCCGCAACGAGCGCAACCCUUAUCCUUUGUUGCCAGCGGUUCGGCCGGGAACUCAAAGGAGACUGCCAGUGAUAAACUGGAGGAAGGUGGGGAUGACGUCAAGUCAUCAUGGCCCUUACGACCAGGGCUACACACGUGCUACAAUGGCAUAUACAAAGAGAAGCGACCUCGCGAGAGCAAGCGGACCUCAUAAAGUAUGUCGUAGUCCGGAUUGGAGUCUGCAACUCGACUCCAUGAAGUCGGAAUCGCUAGUAAUCGUAGAUCAGAAUGCUACGGUGAAUACGUUCCCGGGCCUUGUACACACCGCCCGUCACACCAUGGGAGUGGGUUGCAAAAGAAGUAGGUAGCUUAACCUUCGGGAGGGCGCUUACCACUUUGUGAUUCAUGACUGGGGUGAAGUCGUAACAAGGUAACCGUAGGGGAACCUGCGGUUGGAUCACCUCCUU
RNAcentral lists this ribosomal RNA (1536 nucleotides) under Klebsiella pneumoniae. RNAcentral's name for it is "16S ribosomal RNA". It matches the Rfam family "Bacterial small subunit ribosomal RNA". The record is from RNAcentral. Lineage: Bacteria; Pseudomonadati; Pseudomonadota; Gammaproteobacteria; Enterobacterales; Enterobacteriaceae.